GACGAACGCUGGCGGCGUGCCUAAUACAUGCAAGUAGAACGCUGAAGGAGGAGCUUGCUUUGCUGGAAGAGUUGCGCAGGGGUGAGUAACGUGUAGGUAUCCUGCCUGGUAGGGGGGGAUGACGAUUGGAAACGAUAGCUAAUACCGCAUAAUUGCGGUUGUUGGAUGAGAACUUUUGGAAAGGAGCAAUUCCACCACUACUAGAUGGAACUACGUGGUUGUAGCUAGUUGGUGGGGUAAAGGCUCCAAAAGGCGACGGUACAUAGACGACCUGCAGGGGGGGUCGACCCACCUGGGACUGGGACACGGCCCAGACUCCUACGGGAGGGAGCCGUAGGGAAUCUUCGGAAAUGGACGGAAGUCUGACCGCGCAACGCCGGGUGGGGGAAGAAGGGUUUCGGAUCGUAAAGCUCUGUUGUAAGGGAAGAACGAGCGUGAGAGUGGAAAGUUCACACUGUGACGGUAUCUUACCAGAAAGGGACGGCUAACUACGUG
Molecule: ribosomal RNA, 495 nt
Filed under: uncultured bacterium
Lineage: Bacteria
Description: partial 16S ribosomal RNA
Rfam family: Bacterial small subunit ribosomal RNA
Source: RNAcentral